AAGGGCACCACAAGAACGCGUGGAGCAUGUGGCUUAAUUUGACUCAACGCGGGAAAUCUUACCGGGUCCGGACACACUGAGGAUUGACAGGUGGUUCACACACAUUAUUCAUAAUGUUGUGUGUAUAAAUAUGCUAGUUCUUUCAUGAUUAUGUGAUAGGUGGUGCAUGGCCGUUCUUAGUUCGUGGAGUGAUCUGUCUGCUUAAUUGCGUAUCACUAAACGUGUAAUUAUACAUAUGUUAAUAUGCAGUGUCUAAUACUUAUGUAUAUGACCUCAUAUUUUACAUAUUAUACACGUUGAUAGCAACGAACGUGACCGUAACCUCUUGUUGCCUGGCUCGUGACUCGUCUCAGUGUAUGAAUAUCAUUUCAUACACUGUGGAGACCAGAUGCAAACUAGAGGGACCGCUGUAUUCUUUCUUAAACCAGGGGAAGGUUACGGCAAUAACAGGUCUGUGAUGCCCUUAGAUGUUCCGGGCCGCACACGUGCUACAAUGAUUAUUGCAGUGAGCAUCUCGAUCUGACAAAUUGUGUGUAAGCGUUGCGUAUUUAUUAUAUGCACUGUCUAACACGCAAUACUGCCUGCUUCGAAAGUUCGCGGGUAAUCAAUUAACAACAAUGAUUUCCAAAACAUAUAUAGCACACAUAUAUGUGAUUAUGCUAUCCACAUAGUCCCUAGUGUCUGUGUCGUGCAUAGCAUAAUUUUUCACAUGUGCAAUUGUCAAUUCAUGGUGGGGACAGACUAUUGUUAAUUAUUAGUCUCGGUCUUAACUAGGAAUGCCUUGUACUGGUUUAGUUCAUCAGACUACCAGGAAUACGUCCCUGCCCUUUGUACACACCGCCCGUCGCUCUUACCGAUGAACUAUACUGUGAGUAUAUUGGACUGCUGUAUUCUUGCGGAAAAAUACACGAACAGUGUGGUUUAAAGGAAAGAGAAGUCGAACAAGGC
RNAcentral lists this ribosomal RNA (948 nucleotides) under Zaninettia conica. RNAcentral's name for it is "bacterial SSU rRNA". It matches the Rfam family "Eukaryotic small subunit ribosomal RNA", at positions 1160 to 1800 of the family's 1831-position model. The record is from RNAcentral. Lineage: Eukaryota; Foraminifera; Lituolida; Remaneicidae.